Pelobates cultripes (western spadefoot toad) is the source of this 285-nucleotide non-coding RNA. NCBI's taxonomy places the organism in Eukaryota, Metazoa, Chordata, Amphibia, Anura, Pelobatidae. The record is from the annotation of a GenBank genome assembly.
GGGGUGAUUAGUGACAGAGUGAGGGAGGGGGUGACUAGUGACAGAGUGAGGGAGCAGGUGACACAGUGACAGAGUUAGGAGGGAGUGACUAGUGACGGAGAGAGGGAUGGGGUGACUAGUGACAGUCACCCCCUCCCUCACUCUGUCACUAGUCACUCCCUCUCUCACUCUGUCACUAGUCACCCCCUCUCUCACUCUGUCACUAGUCACCCCAUUCCCUCUCUCUGUCACUCCCUCUCUCUGUCACUAGUCACACCCUCCCUCACUCUGUCACUAGUCACACCC